Molecule: ribosomal RNA, 429 nt
Filed under: Pseudomonadota bacterium
Lineage: Bacteria; Pseudomonadati; Pseudomonadota
Description: Proteobacteria bacterium partial 16S ribosomal RNA
Rfam family: Bacterial small subunit ribosomal RNA
Source: RNAcentral
UGGGGAAUAUUGGACAAUGGGCGAAAGCCUGAUCCAGCCAUGCCGCGUGUGUGAAGAAGGUCUUCGGAUUGUAAAGCACUUUAAGUUGGGAGGAAGGGCAGUAAGCGAAUACCUUGCUGUUUUGACGUUACCGACAGAAUAAGCACCGGCUAACUCUGUGCCAGCAGCCGCGGUAAUACAGAGGGUGCAAGCGUUAAUCGGAAUUACUGGGCGUAAAGCGCGCGUAGGUGGUUCGUUAAGUUGAAUGUGAAAGCCCCGAGCUCAACCUGGGAACUGCAUCCAAAACUGGCGAGCUAGAGUAGGGCAGAGGGUGGUGGAAUUUCCUGUGUAGCGGUGAAAUGCGUAGAUAUAGGAAGGAAAACCAGUGGCGAAGGCGACCACCUGGGCUCAUACUGACACUGAGGUGCGAAAGCGUGGGGAGCAAACAGG